GGAGGAGGAUUAUCAAGAACAGUUCUUUUUGCAUUGCUCCAUCAAUGAGAAGCCAAUUUUUGUAUUUGACUUGAGCAACAACUCAAGGAAAGAUGUUCCUUGAAUUUAUAAAUUCUACUUUGUUGGAUGUUGGAAUUCCUCAUUCAAUGUUGUUUUUUAACAUCAUAAUAAUUUGUGAAUAGUAUCAUGUACCUCCUUAAAAGUGAUUCUUGAAUGUUUGAUGAUAAUAAGUGCAGUAAACUCUUUAGGUAGAGUAGCGAGCUUCUGUUGCUGUGAGAU
RNAcentral lists this unclassified non-coding RNA (279 nucleotides) under Hevea brasiliensis (rubber tree). The record is from RNAcentral. Lineage: Eukaryota; Viridiplantae; Streptophyta; Magnoliopsida; Malpighiales; Euphorbiaceae.